RNAcentral lists this long non-coding RNA (521 nucleotides) under Brassica rapa (field mustard). RNAcentral's name for it is "long non-coding RNA (BRAP_LNC001280)". The record is from RNAcentral. Lineage: Eukaryota; Viridiplantae; Streptophyta; Magnoliopsida; Brassicales; Brassicaceae.
AUUGUUUUCAACAUAGAUGAAUGAAAUUAGAUUAAUUCAUGAAAGUCCUUGAUUUAGGGUUUGGUAACAUAUGUUAUAGUAUUUUUGGUAUAUUUAAGGUUAGAUUUUGAAAUCUUUUUUUUUUAUUUUUUUUUUAAAUUUGACUUAUAUGUGUUUAGUGACUAUCUUAUAAGUUGUUUAAACACUUUGUAAGUAUCUUAAAAGUUUAAAGACGUGUUUUUUGUUUAGUUAUUUGAUUAUAGGGUCUGGAAGACUCACAUAAAACGUCCCAAUAAGUCUUUUAACAUACCCCACCUAAAUUUUAGUAGAAUUUAGGGUUCCCACCUAAAUUUUAGAAGAAUUUAGGUUUUCUGCCUAAAUCGAAGUCUUUCAGAAGUCCUCUAGGGAAGUGUUUUUGUUUAGUUAUUUGAUUAUAGGGUCUGGAAGACUACGAGAAGACUUUGUUAUAGUAUUGUUUGUAUUUAGGGUUAUAUUUUAGAAUCUUAACUUUUAAAAUUUUUUGACCUACAUGUGUUUAGUUU